Brassica napus (rape) is the source of this 1003-nucleotide long non-coding RNA. RefSeq lists it as uncharacterized. Lineage: Eukaryota; Viridiplantae; Streptophyta; Magnoliopsida; Brassicales; Brassicaceae. The transcript is spliced from 2 exons. The record is from RefSeq and is a predicted model, not a curated record.
GCUUUAUAUGGACCAUUGAAAUACGCAUACAUUGUUCUAAAAAUUUUAUAUUUGAGAUAACAUGAUUUUUAUGUUAAAAAUAGAGAGGUAACAUAAUUUCUAAAUAUUAUUGAAUAUUGAGAAAAUUGCCAAAACGGAACAAAAAUUUAGCACUGUUGUCCCUUUGGUAUAAAAUCACCAUUAAAUUGUCCCUAUGGUAUAAUAUUUUUCAUAAUCCCAAAAUUAACCCUGAGUUAAUAAAAUUAAACACAAUUUAAAAAUUAAAAUGAAUUUUAAAAAGUUUAAUAAAAAAUAAACAAACGUUUUAGAAAGGCAAAAUAAAUUAAAAUAAAAAUAAAAGAAAAAGGUUCAAAAACCAGUAACCUAACUGUUUGUUUCUCUGCCUCUCUCUCUCUCUAUCUAGACGAACAAGAAGGAGAUUCUGUGUCUUCUCCAGUGAAAUCAACGACGAGUCUACCAACCGAUGAAAUCGAACUUUCCACCGUGGGUUUGAUCGAAUCUCUCCCCUUCGUCUUACUCCACUUCUCUCGCUCCACGAACAAGAAAGCGAUUUCAGAGCUUCUCUAGAUGAUUGGUGAAAUAGACUCUCUCUUCCGGCGGAAGCCCUUCAUCUUGUUCUCUCCGCCUCUCUCUUUAUCCGACAUCGCUAGCCGUGAGGGAGAUGAUUUUUGAACAGAUGCUUUGUCUUUGGAAGUGAUGUGGGCUGAUCAAGAUGCUAUUAGAGCUGGAGUUGGGAAGUAGCCGUGGAGAAGAAUCAGGCAGCUAGCACUUCCCACGGAUGAUCUGUUGCUCUGUACGAUCGCGGCGUUGGUAUAGGAAACUGAUCAUACAAAAAUACAGUAGUAUGAAGAAUAUUGCGGAAGAGAAUAAUAGCAUGGCUGGUCAGCUUGAUGUCUGGACGCUUCUUGAUGAUGCGCAUCACUUUGUCGUGAGACUGUUUUUUUUCCCACAAUUGUAUUAUGGAUAAUAUAAGUUCAAUUGUAGCUAUUCCAUUUCUCGCUUC